This 569-nucleotide ribosomal RNA is filed under the name uncultured bacterium. Its description in RNAcentral is "bacterial SSU rRNA". It matches the Rfam family "Bacterial small subunit ribosomal RNA", at positions 881 to 1450 of the family's 1533-position model. The record is from RNAcentral.
UACGGCCGCAAGGUUAAAACUCAAAUGAAUUGACGGGGGCCCGCACAAGCGGUGGAGCAUGUGGUUUAAUUCGACGCAACGCGAAGAACCUUACCUGGCCUUGACAUGCAGAGAACUUUCCAGAGAUGGAUUGGUGCCUUCGGGAACUCUGACACAGGUGCUGCGUGGCCGUCGUCAGCUCGUGUCGUGAGAUGUUGGGUUAAGUCCCGUAACGAGCGCAACCCCUAUCCCUAGUUGCUAGCAGUUCGGCUGAGAACUCUAGGGAGACUGCCGGUGACAAACCGGAGGAAGGUGGGGAUGACGUCAGGUCAUCAUGGCCCUUACGGCCAGGGCUACACACGUGCUACAAUGGUGCGUACAGAGGGCUGCAAACCCGCGAGGGGGAGCUAAUCUCACAAAACGCAUCGUAGUCCGGAUCGGAGUCUGCAACUCGACUCCGUGAAGUCGGAAUCGCUAGUAAUCGCGAAUCAGAAUGUCGCGGUGAAUACGUUCCCGGGCCUUGUACACACCGCCCGUCACACCAUGGGAGUGGAUUGCACCAGAAGUGGUUAGUCUAACCUCCGGGAGGA